AGGGGAUGCGUCUAUGCAGGAGAUGAAUGCAGCUGAAUCAAUUGAAGCCAAACAAAUGCAGAUGUCUUCCGAUCAGCCAAAUGAUUUGAAGGCGAUAGAAGAUAUCAAUGCCAAUGAAGUUUUAGCUGAUGCUGUUGAGGCUUCUGUUGAAGUGUCUCAAUCAGUGGUAUCUGAAAAGACGUCAAAUAAUGAAAGUUAUGAGUCAAAGCCACAGGAGGCAGAGGGGAAAUUUUCAGUUGUGGAGUCCAAGUUACUUGAGGCAGAGGAUCAAGCCACAGAAAAUGUUCCCAACAAAGCGGAACUACAGCAUAAUGAGAGAGUUCCUGAUUCUACGGAGUUGAAAUUGGCCUUUCCCGAAGCUGAAGUUAAAUCUUUAGAUGGUGUGAAUGUAGAUAAGGAUCAUGAGCGACAUGAUAAGGCAGAGCAGGACGAACAGAGAAUCUCCACUGAACUUUCACCUAAUGCACCUACAUUGGAAUUGGAAGCUGUUUCGCCUAAUGAAAUAGAUUGUGGUUGUCAAAUGGAGCUUUCUGACUCAUUCAAAGCUGGUGAAGGGAUGGAAGAUGUGCAUGUGAUGUCUCUGGCGAAAGAUUUACCUGCAUUAGACAACCCUGAACUGCUUAAAGAUUUUAAAGACUCCAAUAAAUACAAAUCUAGUUUUCCAUUGGAUCUAGGCUCUUCUGAAGAAAUUUUCUCUGUCAAAGAUGACGUUUUUGCUGCAUCAGAGGUGACUCAAUCUUUUGUGGGCACUGGCAGG
This 757-nucleotide unclassified non-coding RNA is filed under the name Hevea brasiliensis (rubber tree). The record is from RNAcentral. Lineage: Eukaryota; Viridiplantae; Streptophyta; Magnoliopsida; Malpighiales; Euphorbiaceae.